CCUACGGGCGGCAGCAGUGGGGAAUAUUGCACAAUGGGGGAAACCCUGAUGCAGCGACGCCGCGUGAGUGAAGAAGUAAUUCGUUACGUAAAGCUCUAUCAGCAGGGAAGAAAAUGACGUUACUUGAGUAAGAAGCACCGGCUAACUACGUGCCAGCAGCCGCGGUAAUACGUAGGGGGCAAGCGUUAUCCGGAUUUACUGGGUGUAAAGGGAGCGUAGACGGGUCGCCAAGUCUGGAGUGAAAUGCCGCGGCUUAACUGCGGAACUGCUUUGGAAACUGGCGAACUAGAGUGCGGGAGGGGUAAGCAGAAUUCCUAGUGUAGCGGUGAAAUGCGUAGAGAUUAGGAGGAACACCGGUGGCGAAGGCGGCUUACUGGACCGUGACUGACGUUGAGGCUCGAAAGCGUGGGGAGCAAACAGGAUUAGAUACCCGUGUAGUC
Molecule: ribosomal RNA, 440 nt
Filed under: uncultured bacterium
Lineage: Bacteria
Description: partial 16S ribosomal RNA
Rfam family: Bacterial small subunit ribosomal RNA
Source: RNAcentral